AUGGCUCGGUCAAGAUGGAGUCUUGCGAGCAGCGAGCUUUCGGUCAUCCCUGUGCGGCGUGGAGAGCGGCGGUGCUUUCCUAGUGAUGCCGGCCUGGGAUUUCUCCGUGGAGAGGCGGCUCUGAUUGUCGCAAGGUCAUUCCUUGGAGUGGGCGACGGCCGUUGCGGGCAGUCCUGGACCUGGCCGGAGGUGCUGGUUGGCUUCGGACCCUCGUGCAGGCUGGGAGUGGAUGUGUGGCCGCGGUUUCCCUGCCGGGUGGUCGGUCGUUGGUCCUCGGCUAUGCAGCUACUUCGGCAAGUGCUGCGGUGGCGGUGGUGUGAGGCUUCUUGGCAGUGCUACCAAUCCCAUGGAGGCGUGGCGAUGGGCGAAGCGUGGAUGAAAAUUUUGCACGGCUUCUGCCGGGCCGGCGGUGAUGGCAUCUGUGGAUGUCAUUCCCCUCCUUGGAGGCAUCGUCGAGCGUGUUCGCCUCAUCCCUCGCGCUCUCGGUGUUGGUGGAUGUCUCCGGGUGAAAGCCUAGAUUCGAUGUUCUGA
RNAcentral lists this ribosomal RNA (531 nucleotides) under Triticum aestivum (bread wheat). Its description in RNAcentral is "partial small subunit ribosomal RNA". Lineage: Eukaryota; Viridiplantae; Streptophyta; Magnoliopsida; Poales; Poaceae. The record is from RNAcentral.